Molecule: ribosomal RNA, 343 nt
Filed under: uncultured Pseudomonadota bacterium
Lineage: Bacteria; Pseudomonadati; Pseudomonadota
Description: bacterial SSU rRNA
Rfam family: Bacterial small subunit ribosomal RNA
Source: RNAcentral
AACGAACGCUGGCGGCGUGCUUAACACAUGCAAGUCGAACGCGAAAGGGACUUCGGUCCCGAGUAGAGUGGCGCACGGGUGAGUAACGCGUAAGUAAUCUACCCUGUAUCUGGAAUAACCCACCGAAAGGUGAGCUAAUACCGGAUACGUUCAGACUGGUGCGAAUCAGUGUGAAGAAGAUGGCCUCUUCUUGAAAGCUAUUGUACAGGGACGAGCUUGCGGUACCAUUAGCUAGUUGGUAGGGUAAUGGCCUACCAAGGCAACGAUGGUUAGCGGGUCUGAGAGGAUGAUCCGCCACACUGGAACCUGGGAACACGGACCAGACUCCUACCGGGAGGCCUGG